Molecule: ribosomal RNA, 551 nt
Filed under: Barbarophryne brongersmai (Tiznit toad)
Lineage: Eukaryota; Metazoa; Chordata; Amphibia; Anura; Bufonidae
Description: partial 16S ribosomal RNA
Rfam family: Bacterial large subunit ribosomal RNA
Source: RNAcentral
AAGAGGUCCAGCCUGCCCAGUGACCCUGUUCAACGGCCGCGGUAUCCUAACCGUGCGAAGGUAGCGUAAUCACUUGUUCUUUAAAUGUGGACUAGUAUGAAUGGCACCACGAAGGUUACACUGUCUCCUUUUUCUAAUCAGUGAAACUAAUCUCCCCGUGAAGAAGCGGGGAUAUAACUAUAAGACGAGAAGACCCUAUGGAGCUUUAAACAACAUAGCACCUGCCAUAUAACAUAAAAUUUUCUGAAUUUUUACUUCGCCAGGCAAGAUGACUACAAGUUUUUGGUUGGGGUGACCACGGAGCAUAACAUAACCUCCAUGUUGAAAGAAUCCUCUUCUAAGCCGAGAUUUACUUAUCAAAGCAUCAAUAUACUGACAUCCAUUGACCCAAUACAUUUGAACAACGAACCAAGUUACCCUAGGGAUAACAGCGCAAUCCACUUCAAGAGCUCCUAUCGACAAGUGGGUUUACGACCUCGAUGUUGGAUCAGGGUAUCCCAGUGGUGUAGCCGCUACUAAAGGUUCGUUUGUUCAACGAUUAAAACCCUACG